CAAAAACAAAACUCAAAAGUCUCUUACACGCCUCUCUCUCUCUUUCUCUCUCUCUCUCUCUCUCUCUCUCUCUCUCUCUCUCACACACACACACACACACAGAGGCACACAUAAACAGAGAGACCCAUGCACUUCACUUCUCUCUAUAAAAUCUCUUUCUUUCUAAUUGGGUUUGUUGAGCUGAGGCAUGGUUGCUGGCCAAAUCUGGAAUAGCCUAUUUCAUGGUUGUCUACCAUUUGAAGGAAAUCUUCUUCUUUGGGCAGAGCCCUUCCCGUCCACCAGCUAUACCAGUCUCUAGCUCAACACACGGUGCUUUGUUUAAGGAGGUUAGUCGGUAAAACCCAUUUGAUCAGUGACAGUAGAAGAGGCUUCAAAUUAGAGGUGUGUGCUUGAUGGAUUUCGUUUUCAGAAAUAAAUUCUCUGCUCUUGUUUUUGUGAAAAAACUUGGUUUUUAUGCUUUGACUGAUCUGUUUAUGUCACCAAUGUUAGCUGUAAGUUUGGUUUGUGUCACCAAUUUAAUGGGCUUUGCAUCAUCUCUCACAAACUACACUCUGUUUUUCUCAGACCAGUGGUGAUAUAUUGCUUUGGUGGGAGAACAGAGAAGUCAGAAAAAUUAAUUGACAAUUGAGUAGAAAAAUUAAUUGACAAUUGAGUAAAAAAAUUAAGAAUAACAACGCUGGAAAUACCUCAGCGAAUCUGUAAGAUUUAAUCCCCUUCCUGACAGAACCCAAGGGAGCUGGAAAGUGAGCACUUUGGAAGAGCAGAGGAAGAUGAGAAGAAUGGAAACGAAGAAGGCAAGCAAUUCGGUGGGAAAAAAAGGUGGUUUAAAUAGAGGCAUUUUCGUAAUUUUACUGUGCUUAGCUACAGUGUUUAGUUGCAUUGGGUUUUAGUGUAUAUAUAGAAUUUGUAUUGCGUUGUAGUUCACCUUUUUGUUAAUUACUAGAACUAACUCUCAGUACAAG
RNAcentral lists this long non-coding RNA (962 nucleotides) under Prunus dulcis (almond). Its description in RNAcentral is "sRNA ncRNA". Lineage: Eukaryota; Viridiplantae; Streptophyta; Magnoliopsida; Rosales; Rosaceae. The record is from RNAcentral.